This 246-nucleotide ribosomal RNA is filed under the name uncultured bacterium. RNAcentral's name for it is "partial 16S ribosomal RNA". It matches the Rfam family "Bacterial small subunit ribosomal RNA", at positions 88 to 334 of the family's 1533-position model. The record is from RNAcentral.
UGACUAAGCGGCGGACGGGUGAGUAACGCGUGGGUAACCUGCCUCAUACAGGGGGAUAACAGUUGGAAACGGCUGCUAAUACCGCAUAAGCGCACAGUACCGCAUGGUACGGUGUGAAAAACUCCGGUGGUAUGAGAUGGACCCGCGUCUGAUUAGGUAGUUGGUGGGGUAACGGCCUACCAAACCGACGAUCAGUAGCCGACCUGAGAGGGUGACCGGCCACAUUGGGACUGAGACACGGCCCAA